CCCGGACGCAGCAGCUCCCACCAGCAAGGUCAGGCCCAGCGUCCGCCUGUCCGGUCCAGGAGUCGCCGUGACAGGAGCCACAGGACAACAUCAAGCGCUGAGAGGCCCAGGCCAAGGGAGACGUCGUCAGGGACAUCCCCCAGACGCAGCCGCUCCCGCCUGCAGCGCCGGGCCUGGAAUCAACCUGUCCUGUCCAGGAGUCGCCAGGACAGGAGCAGCAGGACAGCAGCAAGGGCUCAGAGGCCCAGGCGCAGUGGGGCACCGUCAGGGGUGUCCCGCAGGAGCAACCGCUCCUGUCUGCGACGUCGGGCCUCAACUGGGACCUCCAACAGCAGCACGUAGUGUCAUCUUUUCUUUCUUUCCAUCUGUUCGCCGCCGGAAGUGAAGUAAAGCCAAAAGGAAGAAGAGAGAAGAGAGUGACACACUGCCUCAAAUGCCUGAAGAAAUCGAUUGCUGUAUUGCUGCCGAUUUAAAAAACUUGCUUGGACCUUGAAAGAACAAACCAGAAAAGACUGUGGAAAUACCCUGGGACAAAGAGGACGCGCAGGACUCUGCCCCAGAUGACCAUUUGGGACCUUUGCCUGAGAACGACGCAGCUCAGGAGCCGAGUGCUUUCAAGUUUUCCUUCUUUGGAGACACAGAGGACUUGUGCAUCAAAGAAGAUAAAAUGAGGCCUUGUGAAAAGAAGAUGAAACAACAUUAAAUCGAGUCACAGUCCUGAAGGAGAGAAGAGAAACUGUGUGCAGUUAUGCCAAAUAUUAAAAAAAAGAAACCAAUGCAACAAGACAAAGCAACCAGCCUCCCACACUUGUGCUGAAUUCAGAAGGAAUUCAGUGUCUUCUGAAUGCAAUGAUAAAUGCUUAUGAAUACAGAAGAGAUCCCUAGAACAAACUGGAAAAUCCUGGAGGAGAGAUGUAGCUCAGAA
Vidua chalybeata is the source of this 925-nucleotide long non-coding RNA. RefSeq lists it as uncharacterized. Lineage: Eukaryota; Metazoa; Chordata; Aves; Passeriformes; Viduidae. The record is from RefSeq and is a predicted model, not a curated record. The transcript is spliced from 3 exons.